CAGACACAGGCUGUGUCUGCGCGGAUGAAGAGAGGACCUUCCAGUGGAACGUGCGAGCCACCAGCCUGGGGAAGAUGAACAUCACUGUCACUGCUGAGGCCUUGAGCUCUGACGAGCUCUGCAGCACCCAGAUGCCCACGGUGUCAGCCCAGGAGCACGUGGACACUGAGACAAAACUCCUGAUGGUGCAGGCUCCACAAGUGAUGUGAAGGAAAAUUGCAGCUGCCUGGCUGUCCCUGUGCUCCUGACCCCACCAGACAGCCAUGGUCUAGAGGACUGGCAUCUCUCCCUGUUCCUAUCACUUCAUUCCCUUCACCUGACCCGGAAGGAACCUGCAGCAACACGGCUGAGACGAGGACUCCAAACCCCAUCCUGCUCUCCAGCAGCCCUGCCAGCCCAUGAGGAUCAAGGGCUGCCUGGGAGCAGCCACUUUUCUGCCCAAGCGGUCAUGAUUUCCCUUGAACCAAUGCCAGUGUGACCCCCCAGAGAGGGGACCAGGGCAGGUGAGCUGACCCCCAGCUGACAAAAAGCCUCUGGAGAUCAAUGUAAGCCUGAUGGCCGGGGAUGGAGACGAUGCUCAGAGCUGACCCAAGCACAGCCAGGCUGACCCCUGCUCUGCCAGCCUGAAAAAUAAAGAAAAAUGCAAGUGGAAUAAGGGAAGUGGAAACAAAAAAGUGUCCUUCUUGCAUGAAAGCUUCCUUUUUUCAGGCUCUUUCUCACCAUCCUUGACCAAGGCCAGCUCUCUGUCCCAAAAUAGACUUCAUGUUAGGGACUCAUUGUUCCUGUCCACCUUGAUGAUGUGUCAGAGGGGUUGUACUUUCACCUUGCUUUGCUGAAUAAAAAACUGAGA
RNAcentral lists this long non-coding RNA (850 nucleotides) under Columba livia (rock pigeon). RNAcentral describes it as "partial uncharacterized LOC102090361". Lineage: Eukaryota; Metazoa; Chordata; Aves; Columbiformes; Columbidae. The record is from RNAcentral.